RNAcentral lists this ribosomal RNA (253 nucleotides) under uncultured bacterium. RNAcentral's name for it is "partial 16S ribosomal RNA". It matches the Rfam family "Bacterial small subunit ribosomal RNA", at positions 524 to 776 of the family's 1533-position model. The record is from RNAcentral.
UACGGAGGGGACUAGCGUUGUUCGGAAUUACUGGGCGUAAAGCGCGCGUAGGUGGAUUUGCAAGUCGGGGGUGAAAGCCCGAGGCUCAACCUCGGAACUGCCCUCGAUACUGCAAAUCUCGAGUCCGAGAGAGGUGAGUGGAAUUCCUAGUGUAGAGGUGAAAUUCGUAGAUAUUAGGAAGAACACCAGUGGCGAAGGCGGCUCACUGGCUCGGUACUGACGCUGAGGCGCGAAAGCGUGGGGAGCAAACAGG